This 440-nucleotide ribosomal RNA is filed under the name uncultured bacterium. Its description in RNAcentral is "partial 16S ribosomal RNA". It matches the Rfam family "Bacterial small subunit ribosomal RNA", at positions 338 to 795 of the family's 1533-position model. The record is from RNAcentral.
CCUACGGGUGGCAGCAGUAGGGAAUCUUUCACAAUGGGCGAAAGCCUGAUGGAGCAACGCCGCGUGCAGGAUGAAGGCCUUCGGGUUGUAAACUGCUUUUAUAAGCGAGAAAUAUGAUGGUAACUUAUGAAUAAGGAUCGGCUAACUACGUGCCAGCAGCCGCGGUCAUACGUAGGAUCCGAGCGUUAUCCGGAUUUAUUGGGUUUAAAGGGAGCGUAGGCGGGUUGUUAAGUCAGUUGUGAAAGUUUGCGGCUCAACCGUAAAAUUGCAGUUGAUACUGGCAUCCUUGAGUACAGUAGAGGUAGGCGGAAUUCGUGGUGUAGCGGUGAAAUGCUUAGAUAUCACGAAGAACUCCGAUUGCGUAGGCAGCCUGCUGGACUGUAACUGACGCUGAUGCUCGAAAGUGUGGGUAUCAAACAGGAUUAGAUACCCCAGUAGUC